GUUCCGGUGACUGCAGGGGUUUUCCCGGUGCUCGGUGUUUCCUCCCCGUCGGCCUUUAAACGCGAAUGUGACCCUACCACCAAAGUGGAGUGCAGUCCAGAAUCACCAAACCUGGGCUUCCAGGUGUCUGGAAACACAAUGUUAACAUUUGUUUUGCUCCAAAACAAAGUAUGACCGUGUCGGACGUUUUAGUCCAGCCCCAAAUUUUGCCUCUGAGCAAGAUUCCCAGGACCUCAUUGGAGCAGUUUACAGCCAGUCUUAUCUCACUAUUAACUUCCAUUUUCUGCUGUAGUACUUAAAGUGACAGAAGUUACUCUUCCUAGAAGUAACUUUUCCAGACGAUUCAAACUGCUGUUAUACAGAGAUUUAAGUAUUUGUGUGCAUGUGUGAAAACAGAGAUAUGUAAUGUAUAUAUUUCAUUUUAUUUCCACUGUUCUGCUUCUCUUUUUAAAAAUAAAGCGGUCUCCUCCACUUUGGGUAAAUCUUUCAGCACAUUUGAUCAAA
RNAcentral lists this long non-coding RNA (504 nucleotides) under Homo sapiens (human). RNAcentral's name for it is "PRKD3 divergent transcript (PRKD3-DT)". The record is from RNAcentral. Lineage: Eukaryota; Metazoa; Chordata; Mammalia; Primates; Hominidae.